Molecule: long non-coding RNA, 492 nt
Filed under: Homo sapiens (human)
Lineage: Eukaryota; Metazoa; Chordata; Mammalia; Primates; Hominidae
Description: HSALNT0348038
Source: RNAcentral
CUCUAAUGUUUUCUAGGCAAACAGGGUGUGCUUGUCGAAGAGAUAUUCUGCCGAGCCAGAUUCGGGCGCUCCCAUCUUGCGCAAGUUGGUCACGUGGUCACUCAAUUCUUUGAUGGCUUUCACCUGCUCAUUCAGGUAAUGUGUCUCAAUGAAGUCACACAAAUGGGGGUCAUUUUUGUCAGUGGCCAGUUUGUACAGUUCCAGUAGUGACUGAUUCACAUUUUUUUCCAAAUAUAAUGCACACUCCAUCGCAUUCAGCCCGCUCUCCCAGUCAUCACAGUCUGGUUUCUUGAUAUCCUGAAGGAAGAUUCGGCCACCUCGUUGGUUCUGCAGCUUCAUCAGUUUCUCAGCAUGUUCCCUCUCCUCAUGAGAUUGGUAAAGAAAGUAUUUGGCAAAGUUCUUCAAAGCCACAUCAUCGCGGUCAAAGUAUAAGACAUGGACAGUGUCUGGUGCACAGCAGAUGUGCAGCAAAUCCUGAAUUACAACAUCACU